GGUUUUAAGAGGUUCUGUGAGAAGUAUCCUAUUGCUUUUCCUCAUUUUUGGUGGUGCGAUGUGGAUUGUCCUUUUGCAAAAGAAAAAACGCAAUUGUACCUGUGAAGCCCAAAGAAAGUAUUGUGUUGCUAGUUAUGAAGAUUCUCCACUGUAAAAAGAAAACUUUGUCUUCAUAGCUACAGGACAAGAUAUUCUUAAUUGGCAAUUUCUUCUGAGCAAGCUAACAACAAAUAUCAUGCUGACAUUGAUGGUUAUGUUAUGAGAAGCAAUGAAUGUAUAAUAUACUCCUGGAAAAAAUAUGAAGCAGAGUCAUUGAUAUAACAUAGCUGAUAUGAUUUUGAUAUAAAAAUCAAGAACCAUACAUGACCAUUUAUUGUUGACAUAUAUUAUUCUUUUUAUUGCAUUC
Thamnophis elegans (Western terrestrial garter snake) is the source of this 406-nucleotide long non-coding RNA. RefSeq lists it as uncharacterized. The record is from RefSeq and is a predicted model, not a curated record. Lineage: Eukaryota; Metazoa; Chordata; Lepidosauria; Squamata; Natricidae. The transcript is spliced from 3 exons.